Molecule: ribosomal RNA, 1034 nt
Filed under: Ceratodictyon intricatum
Lineage: Eukaryota; Rhodophyta; Florideophyceae; Rhodymeniales; Lomentariaceae
Description: SSU rRNA
Rfam family: Eukaryotic small subunit ribosomal RNA
Source: RNAcentral
UACCACAUCCAAGGAAGGCAGCAGGCGCGUAACUUACCCAAUCCGAAAUCCGGGAGGUAGUGACAAGAAAUAUCAAUAGAGGACCCAAUGGGUCUUCUAAUUGGAAUGAGAACAAGGUAAACAUCUUAUCGAGGAUCCAGCAGAGGGCAAGUCUGGUGCCAGCAGCCGCGGUAAUUCCAGCUCUGUAAGCGUAUACCAAAGUUGUUGCAGUUAAAACGCUCGUAGUCGAACCUUGGCGAUUGUUUUGCGUCAUCCUCACGGAUGGCUGUGAUUCGGCCGCCUUUGUGGAGGGGGGUGUAGUGGUUCUUUACUGAAUUACUGCAUUUCCGCCACCGUCUACUGUGAAAAAAUUAGAGUGUUCAAAGCAGGCAAUGGCCGUGAAUACAUUAGCAUGGAAUAAUAGAAUAGGACCUGUGUUCUAUUUUGUUGGUUUGUUAGAAACGGGUAAUGAUUAAGAGGGAUGGUUGGGGGCAUUUGUAUUCCAGCGCUAGAGGUGAAAUUCUUGGAUUGUUGGAAGACAAACUGCUGCGAAAGCGUCUGCCAAGGACAUUUUCAUUGAUCAAGAACGAAAGUAAGGGGAUCGAAGACGAUCAGAUACCGUCGUAGUCUUUACUAUAAACGAUGAGGACUGGAGAUCGGACGGGGCUGUUUUUGGCCCGUUCGGCAUCCCCCGGGAAACCAAAGUGUUUGCUUUCUGGGGGGAGUAUGGUCGCAAGGCUGAAACUUAAAGGAAUUGACGGGAGGGCAUCACCGGGUGUGGAGCCUGCGGCUUAAUUUGACUCAACACGGGGAAACUUACCAGGUCCGGACAUAGUGAGGAUUGACAGAUUGAGAGCUCUUUCUUGAUUCUAUGGUUGGUGGUGCAUGGCCGUUCUUAGUUGGUGGAGUGGUCUGUCUGGUUAAUUCCGUUAACGAGCGAGACCUGGGCGUGUUAGCUAGAAAUGACUACACUUUGUGGUAGUGAUCUUCUUCCUAAACGGACUGCGGCCGUCUAGGCCGCGGAAGCUCCAGGCAAUAACAGGUCUGAGAUGCCC